This 382-nucleotide RNase P RNA is filed under the name Lachnospiraceae bacterium. RNAcentral describes it as "RNase P RNA component class A". It matches the Rfam family "Bacterial RNase P class A". Rfam says of the family: Ribonuclease P (RNase P) is a ubiquitous endoribonuclease, found in archaea, bacteria and eukarya as well as chloroplasts and mitochondria. Its best characterised activity is the generation of mature 5'-ends of tRNAs by cleaving the 5'-leader elements of precursor-tRNAs. RNAcentral also lists the same sequence under 1 other name. The record is from RNAcentral. Lineage: Bacteria; Bacillati; Bacillota; Clostridia; Lachnospirales; Lachnospiraceae.
UAAGUAGGAUAAAUGGUCGCGGCUGGCAGGCCGAAAGGUGCCAGACGAGGAAAGUCCGGGCUUCACAGGGCAGGGAUGCCGGAUAACGUCCGGUGGAGGCGACUCUAAGGAUAGUGCAACAGAAAUGAACCGCCGGUGCAGUGCUGUGGAUUCUGUUUUACGGAACAUGCAAGCGGCUCCGGUAAGGGUGGAAGGGCAGUGUAAGAGACUACCGCCCUCCCGGUAACGGGAGGGGCAUAUGUAAACCCCAUCCGAAGCAAGACCGAAACGAAGCAUAUGGCGGCCCGUCAGCUUCAGGUAGGUUGCUGGAACCUGCCGGCAACGGCAGGUCUGGAUAGAUGACCAUUCACGACAUAACCCGGCUUAUCGUCCUGCUUAUAAA